AUUGAACGCUGGCGGCAGGCCUAACACAUGCAAGUCGAGCGGAUGAAGGGAGCUUGCUCCUGGAUUCAGCGGCGGACGGGUGAGUAAUGCCUAGGAAUCUGCCUGGUAGUGGGGGAUAACGUCCGGAAACGGGCGCUAAUACCGCAUACGUCCUGAGGUAGAAAGUGGGGGAUCUUCGGACCUCACGCUAUCAGAUGAGCCUAGGUCGGAUUAGCUAGUUGGUGGGGUAAAGGCCUACCAAGGCGACGAUCCGUAACUGGUCUGAGAGGAUGAUCAGUCACACUGGAACUGGGACACGGUCCAGACUCCUACGGGAGGCAGCAGUGGGGAAUAUUGGACAAUGGGCGAAAGCCUGAUCCAGCCAUGCCGCGUGUGUGAAGAAGGUCUUCGGAUUGUAAAGCUCUUUAAGUUGGGAGGAAGGGCAGUAAGUUAAUACCUUGCUGUUUUGACGUUACCAACAGAAUAAGCACCGGCUAACUUCGUG
Molecule: ribosomal RNA, 484 nt
Filed under: uncultured bacterium
Lineage: Bacteria
Description: partial 16S ribosomal RNA
Rfam family: Bacterial small subunit ribosomal RNA
Source: RNAcentral